RNAcentral lists this transfer RNA (20 nucleotides) under Hymenasplenium cardiophyllum. RNAcentral's name for it is "partial tRNA-Leu". Lineage: Eukaryota; Viridiplantae; Streptophyta; Polypodiopsida; Polypodiales; Aspleniaceae. The record is from RNAcentral. RNAcentral also lists the same sequence under 34 other names.
UUCAAGUCCCUCUAUCCCCA